GUCUCCCUGUAGCUUAGUGGUUAGAGUAUCUGACUGGAACUGGAUGGUCAUCGGUUCCACUCCAGUCAGGGACA
Desmophyllum pertusum is the source of this 74-nucleotide non-coding RNA. The record is from the annotation of a GenBank genome assembly. Lineage: Eukaryota; Metazoa; Cnidaria; Anthozoa; Scleractinia; Caryophylliidae.